This is a small nucleolar RNA of Pteronotus mesoamericanus, 84 nucleotides long. RefSeq annotates it as small nucleolar RNA R38. NCBI's taxonomy places the organism in Eukaryota, Metazoa, Chordata, Mammalia, Chiroptera, Mormoopidae. The record is from RefSeq and is a predicted model, not a curated record. The transcript has a single exon.
CUGAGUCCGUGAUGAUGGAAAGUUAUCCCUGUCUGAAGGCAGAGAAAGGCCUUUCGGUGUGGAACUUGGAUGUCUGAGACUCGG